CGAUUUGGAGGUUGUGCCCUUGAGGCGUGGCUUCCGGAGCUAACGCGUUAAAUCGACCGCCUGGGGAGUACGGCCGCAAGGUUAAAACUCAAAUGAAUUGACGGGGGCCCGCACAAGCGGUGGAGCAUGUGGUUUAAUUCGAUGCAACGCGAAGAACCUUACCUACUCUUGACAUCCAGAGAACUUUCCAGAGAUGGAUUGGUGCCUUCGGGAACUCUGAGACAGGUGCUGCAUGGCUGUCGUCAGCUCGUGUUGUGAAAUGUUGGGUUAAGUCCCGCAACGAGCGCAACCCUUAUCCUUUGUUGCCAGCGGUUCGGCCGGGAACUCAAAGGAGACUGCCAGUGAUAAACUGGAGGAAGGUGGGGAUGACGUCAAGUCAUCAUG
Molecule: ribosomal RNA, 384 nt
Filed under: Serratia marcescens
Lineage: Bacteria; Pseudomonadati; Pseudomonadota; Gammaproteobacteria; Enterobacterales; Yersiniaceae
Description: bacterial SSU rRNA
Rfam family: Bacterial small subunit ribosomal RNA
Source: RNAcentral